This 235-nucleotide long non-coding RNA is filed under the name Gossypium raimondii (Peruvian cotton). Its description in RNAcentral is "long non-coding RNA (GRAI_LNC007472)". The record is from RNAcentral. Lineage: Eukaryota; Viridiplantae; Streptophyta; Magnoliopsida; Malvales; Malvaceae.
UUCUUGCUGUGCAGGUGAAGGUCGGGGCUUGGUUGCGGGGCGAGUUCAUCCCUAAAACCCUAGGGGUUUUUGAAUCUGUUUUGGGCCACAUGUAGUUUGGCCACCGUAUUUUGGUUUAUUUCAGUUUGGGCCAUAUAGGCCCACUUGUAAUUUGGACUGCUUUAUUUUCUUCAUGUAGGCCGGGUAAAAUUUAGGUAUUACAGCUGGUUUAGGACAAAAGAAUAUCUCAAUGUGG